GUGGGGAAUAUUGGACAAUGGGCGAAAGCCUGAUCCAGCCAUGCCGCGUGUGUGAAGAAGGUCUUCGGAUUGUAAAGCACUUUAAGUUGGGAGGAAGGGCAGUAAGUUAAUACCUUGCUGUUUUGACGUUACCGACAGAAUAAGCACCGGCUAACUUCGUGCCAGCAGCCGCGGUAAUACGAAGGGCGCAAGCGUUAAUCGGAAUUACUGGGCGUAAAGCGCGCGUAGGUGGUUUUGUAAGUUGGAGGUGAAAUCCCCGGGCUCAACCUGGGAACUGCCUCCAAAACUGCAUGACUAGAGUACGGUAGAGGGUAGUGGAAUUUCCUGUGUAGCGGUGAAAUGCGUAGAUAUAGGAAGGAACACCAGUGGCGAAGGCGACUACCUGGACUGAUACUGACACUGAGGUGCGAAAGCGUGGGGAGCAAACAGGAUUAGAAACCCGGGUAGUCC
This 450-nucleotide ribosomal RNA is filed under the name uncultured bacterium. Its description in RNAcentral is "bacterial SSU rRNA". It matches the Rfam family "Bacterial small subunit ribosomal RNA", at positions 354 to 796 of the family's 1533-position model. The record is from RNAcentral.